CAGUAGCCGCGGUAAUACGAAGGGUGCAAGCGUUAAUCGGAAUUACUGGGCGUAAAGCGUGCGUAGGCGGUUUGUUAAGUCUGUUGUGAAAUCCCCGGGCUCAACCUGGGAAUGGCAAUGGAUACUGGCAAGCUAGAGUGUGUCAGAGGAUGGUGGAAUUCCCGGUGUAGCGGUGAAAUGCGUAGAGAUCGGGAGGAACAUCAGUGGCGAAGGCGGCCAUCUGGGGCAACACUGACGCUGAGGCACGAAAGCGUGGGGAGCAAACAGGAUUAGAUACCCCUGUAGUCCCUGUCUCUUAUAC
This 301-nucleotide ribosomal RNA is filed under the name uncultured bacterium. Its description in RNAcentral is "partial 16S ribosomal RNA". It matches the Rfam family "Bacterial small subunit ribosomal RNA", at positions 509 to 807 of the family's 1533-position model. The record is from RNAcentral.